CCUACGGGAGGCAGCAGUGAGGAAUAUUGGUCAAUGGACGAGAGUCUGAACCAGCCAAGUAGCGUGAAGGAUGACUGCCCUAUGGGUUGUAAACUUCUUUUAUAAAGGAAUAAAACGAGGCACGUGUGCCUUUUUGCAUGUACUUUAUGAAUAAGGAUCGGCUAACUCCGUGCCAGCAGCCGCGGUAAUACGGAGGAUCCGAGCGUUAUCCGGAUUUAUUGGGUUUAAAGGGAGCGUAGAUGGGUUGUUAAGUCAGUUGUGAAAGUUUGCGGCUCAACCGUAAAAUUGCAAUUGAUACUUGCAAGCGGGAAUGCGGUAGAGGUAAAGGGAAUUCCUGGUGUAGCGGUGAAAUGCUUAGAUAUCAGGAGGAACAUCGGUGGCGUAAGCGCUUUACUGGGCCGUAAUUGACGCUGAGGAACGAAAGCCAGGGUAGCAAAUGGGAUUAGAUACCCCGGUAGUC
This 460-nucleotide ribosomal RNA is filed under the name uncultured bacterium. Its description in RNAcentral is "partial 16S ribosomal RNA". It matches the Rfam family "Bacterial small subunit ribosomal RNA", at positions 338 to 795 of the family's 1533-position model. The record is from RNAcentral.